UUUGGGGGAUUCAAAGCAGUUCUCCCAUGCAGUUCAUCCCCAGCACUUGACCCCCACCCGGUGCCUGGCUUGUGGGGUAAAAUGCUGAGAUUAUGGGAAACUUGUCCUUCCAGCUGGGUGGCCCAUGCUGGGGAACAGCAUCGCUUUCCCUGAUGUGCGGAAAAUACCUGCUGAUCCUUUUCCUUUUCCAGGUCGCUAGGAGGGAAGGAGGGAAGGGCUCGGCGUGCAUUAUCCGUCACUGCAGCGCGGGGGCUGCAGGCCUGGUGGAGGCCCCCAGCCCCUAGUGCACGGCUCUGGCAGGCUGCGGGGGCUGGUCUGCAUGAGAAGUGCAUUUCCAGUAAAAAUUAAAUGACAUCAUCGCCCACUGAGAUUUUCCACUUUUUAUAAGAGCAUCAGGAAAGGUUCUGUGGAAGAUGGAUAAAAAGAUUCAACGGACCACUGA
Molecule: long non-coding RNA, 442 nt
Organism: Dromaius novaehollandiae (emu)
Lineage: Eukaryota; Metazoa; Chordata; Aves; Casuariiformes; Dromaiidae
Exons: 2
Source: RefSeq, a predicted model, not a curated record